Molecule: ribosomal RNA, 253 nt
Filed under: uncultured bacterium
Lineage: Bacteria
Description: partial 16S ribosomal RNA
Rfam family: Bacterial small subunit ribosomal RNA
Source: RNAcentral
UACGGAGGGAGCUAGCGUUGUUCGGAAUUGCUGGGCGUAAAGCGCGCGUAGGCGGCUUUGUAAGUUAGAGGUGAAAGCCCGGGGCUCAACCCCGGAAUUGCCUUUAAGACUGCAUCGCUUGAAUCCGGGAGAGGUGAGUGGAAUUCCGAGUGUAGAGGUGAAAUUCGUAGAUAUUCGGAAGAACACCAGUGGCGAAGGCGGCUCACUGGACCGGCAUUGACGCUGAGGUGCGAAAGCGUGGGGAGCAAACAGG